RNAcentral lists this long non-coding RNA (1220 nucleotides) under Marmota monax (woodchuck). Lineage: Eukaryota; Metazoa; Chordata; Mammalia; Rodentia; Sciuridae. The record is from RNAcentral.
GUCAGGGUUAGGUGCAGGUGUGUGGGCCAUGUAUGCACAGAGUGACAGGGUCAGAGUGACGGACCAUAGGCUGGGACAAAAGUGAGGAGAUGGAGGGAUACAAGGUAGGGGCAGCCCGGGUGGGCAGAGAGAAGUGAGCUGGAAGGUGAAGGUUGGCCAGAAAGCCUGCAGCGGGUGUUCUGAGCCACUGUGGCUAAUGGCAGUGGAGAGAGACUUCCAAACUCUCCGUUAGCUGAAGCCAGAUAAAGGACAAGGUCACUGGCAGGGAUGAGGGUGUUGGAGAAUAUGUUUGUGUGACUUUGAAAUCCCUAGGAACAAUGAAAGUAUGCUGAAAGGGACAGCCAGCUGGUGCCCAAAACCCUUGAUGGACGAGGGCAAGAGUCCAUAAAUGAUGGCCACUGGCUGAGUUGGGAGGAGGGGACCACACCUGCCUGGAUGUGGUGGGAGGCUGUUAGUGACAGCCAUGCCGAGACACAGGGGUCUCCAGGAGAGGCCAGGACGGCCUUCACAGAUGGAGGGGUGUCCCACAGGAGCGGAGGUCAGGCAGGGAGGCCAUGGCUACUCUGAUUUCCAGAGCACAGAGUGGGUGGAGCACAGGCCUGGGAGCUUGCAUCAGGGUGGAGGAUGAGCCAGCCCCAGGGAAACAGUGGUCCCAAGGAGGGCAGCCAGAGAAGCUGGGGUUUCCUAUGGAAAUGGCGGCAGAGCUGUGAGGUGGGUGGGUACCACCAUCGUGGUCCUUAGGCGAAGAUGCUUGGCCCGCUCCAGUGCUACCUGCUUCUUGAUGCUGGUCUCCGGACCAGCAGGGAGGGGACUCCUGGGGAUGGGAGAGAUGCAGAGAGGACAGGGAGUGUGGUGGCCUUACCAAGAAGGAGAUGCUGUGUGACCCCUGGACCACCUGGAGUUUUUAAACCCAGCGGACUUGCUGACCCAGGGCAGGAAUGCAAGGGCCAGGACGGCCAAGCUGGGCGAGGCUGGGAACAGCCGGAAGGUUCUGGGGUCCCCUGGAGGAGCCUGCCCCCCGUGCCUCUCUGUAGGCGGAAGGCAGACAGGGCCGUGCCCUCCAUAGCACCAGAGACGCUCUCACGCAGGCAACAGAGCUGCGCCCAGAUCCCCGCCUCUCCACUGCCACUCCCUGUCUGCGAGUUAAGAACAAAGGUUGAAGCUGCCGUCUGCUGUCUUUAUCUACUCUAUUCCGUGCAGCCCAUGAGGGCAAAUCUGCC